This 405-nucleotide unclassified non-coding RNA is filed under the name uncultured fungus. RNAcentral's name for it is "sequence contains ITS2". The stretch from base 1 to 52 matches the Rfam family "5.8S ribosomal RNA", at positions 103 to 154 of the family's 154-position model. The record is from RNAcentral. Lineage: Eukaryota; Fungi.
AACGCACCUUGCGCCCUCUGGUAUUCCGGAGGGCAUGCCUGUUUGAGUGUCAUUAAAUUCUCAACUUCAUUAGUUUUAAUAACUGAUUGAAGCUUGGAUGUGGGGGUUUGCUGGCGUCAAUGAGAUGUUUUCGGCUCCCCUUAAAUGCAUUAGUAGGAACCCGUUUGUUGGCGUCCUUGGUGUGAUAAUUAUCUACACUUUGGCUAGUCUAACAGACUCUAAUGAAGUUUAUACUGUGAGGUUUUGCGCAUUUGAGUGCUUUUCCUGAGUAUGGGGUUUUGUAUUUUUAAUGCUUUACCUGAUAUUUUCAUUAGAGUAGGAACUCUGCUCUCCAACUGUCUGCGUAUUGUGGACAACUUUUGACAACUUGACCUCAAAUCAGGUAGGACUACCCGCUGAACUUAA